AUUCGCUUCCGUUUUGUUUCUCAGCUACCCGUCUUUUCCAUUCACUUGGAAGUUGGAAUGUCUCCACUCUCCAUCUUCACUCUCUUCGCCUCUCUCCCUCUUCUGUUUCUUUGUUUGCGAUGUUGAGGCCAGGGAUUCCUCUCCCCAUUACAUCACAAGGCCCUCUCUUUAACCCCAAAGUUGUCGCUGUCGUUUUUUCCGCAGCGGCAUCUGCAUCGGCAACGAGGUAAAGACCCUGAGGGCUCCGACGGCGUACGAGGUAGGGGAGAUAAGUGGUUGGGACAGAAGAUCCAGAGGACAUAACCUGUGCCAUCGUCAAUGGCGAACUGAGGAAACUGUUUCGUCCAUUUGGAACUUCAGUUUUCGGGUACCAUUCUGUCUUCCUUUGAAGCUCACCGAUCACAUUCUCUUCUGUUCCCAAGCUACUUCAAGAAGCCUCCAUAUCCGGAUGAAAACAUAGAAAAGAGUGCAGGCUAUGAGCUGGGUUAGAAGAUGGUGCAGUUCUUAAUUGGCUCAUCAUAUUACCCUGUUGCAUGUUGUUUCUUUGAAGACUUCUGUUAGUUGUAGACCUGUGUUCUACAUAGAGUUUAUGAUGUGGUUAAUUUGAAAAGGUGAUUUUGAACCGACGGUGGCUACUGUCAUGAAAGUAAAGCAAAUGAAUGCUUCUAAGGUAAACAUUAACUUGCCACUGCUUUUAAUCAUUUUCUCUACUGAUUGUUCCACAUUUCAUGGCAAGGGUAAAAAAACAAAUGUUUACAGAAAGAUUGGGGAAGGAGGGAACAACAGUGGAUCGGAGGUGCAUCGAGGUGUUGCUGACUGGAGGCAACACGCUACUCAUCUAUACUAUGGAAGCGGCUAGAUGAGGGCAUAGAUUCUGUUGAUGAAUGGCUAAUGAACUAAAAAGUUUUUUUUUUUCGUUUGGUUGAAUUAAGCAGCAAAAUGUUGAUGUGGCUGCUGAAAAACUCAGUGCUCAGGAUAAAGGAAUUCAAGUGUUGGUAGAUGUUUGUCAUGUUUUUAUUGCUCAACAAAGGAAGAGUUUGAUUAAAAAAGUUGUUUUUGUGAAAGUUUGUUGGUAGAUCAACUAUGAAAUUUGUAUAACAACAUGAUUUGUUAUUAGUUCUUCAGAUAAACUAGGCUGAAAAAUGUGAUAUAUGUUUGUUUCUUUUAUUCAAUCUUUUGAUACAAGGUUUCUUUUAUUCAAUCUUUUGAUACAAGGUUUCUUUUAUUUAACUUAACUUCUUAUUAUGGAUUGCACUUCUAUUUUAAUGUGCAUUUAUCUUUUGAUUUUGGACUAGAAGGUGGAAGAUUGAAAGAGAAGGAAAGGGAAUAGAGUGUUUGUCGAGAGGCGUCCAUCACAGUCAGCGUCUUCAACAGCGGGAACAUCCAUUAUGCAGGAACCAGAGGACUUCAUUAGUAAUAUGUUCUAAUUAAAUUGGGAACAACACUAGUGCAUCCCUUUGAGGCUCUGAGAAUAUCCAAGCCUCUCAAUUAAGAGACAAAGAGGAGUUUCAAAAUGGGUAGAUCUUGGAUGCUAUAAACCAUAGGGAUUUUAAUUUGACAUGAUUGAGGUCAGCCACACAAAAAUUCAGAGCUUGGUACAAGGAGAGAGCAACAUCAUCGUGGGAUAUGGAUUUGACUAUUACCAUCAAGAAAGGAUUGAAAUAUUGUUGUGUAGUAUCAUUGUGAUUACCUGUUGUGUGACCUCCCUGUCCUCCCCCUGAAAAAAAAAAGAGAAUUUGUUGAGCUUUUUAUGUUUUGUAUUGCAAUUGAUUGAAACUUAACCAGUGUUGUAUAAUAGAAAAAUGUAAUGAUCCUUAAUAAAGACUUUUGCGUUGUAUAAUGGAUGGUACCAGGUUAAUUGAAAGAGUGUAUUGAUCCUUAUUGGUGAAAUUCAAAUAUUGUUUUGCACUAUAUGAAU
This is a long non-coding RNA of Lotus japonicus, 1918 nucleotides long. RefSeq lists it as uncharacterized. NCBI's taxonomy places the organism in Eukaryota, Viridiplantae, Streptophyta, Magnoliopsida, Fabales, Fabaceae. The transcript is spliced from 5 exons. The record is from RefSeq and is a predicted model, not a curated record.